UACGAAGGGUGCUAGCGUUGUUCGGAAUUAUUGGGCGUAAAGCGUGCGUAGGCGGUCUGGUAAGUCGACUGUGAAAGCCCAGAGCUUAACUUUGGAAUUGCAGUCGAGACUACUAAACUAGAGUAUGGCGGGGGAUAGUGGAAUUCUUAGUGUAGGGGUGAAAUCCGUGGAUAUUAAGAGGAACACCAGUGGCGAAGGCGACUAUCUACACCAUUACUGACGCUGAGGCACGAAAGCGUGGGGAGCAAACAGG
RNAcentral lists this ribosomal RNA (253 nucleotides) under uncultured bacterium. Its description in RNAcentral is "partial 16S ribosomal RNA". It matches the Rfam family "Bacterial small subunit ribosomal RNA", at positions 524 to 776 of the family's 1533-position model. The record is from RNAcentral.